CAAUAGCGUAUAUUAAAGUUGUUGCAGUUAAAAAGCUCGUAGUUGGAUUUCUGGUUGAAGCGACCGGUCGGGCGUUGAUUCGUCUGCACUGGAGUCGGUUUUGGCCAUCCUCUAGGAAAGUGCGUCUGGUAUUAAGUUAUCGGGCGUAUGAUCCUGGUCUUUUACUGUGAAAAAAUUAGAGUGUUUAAAGCAGGCCUUCGCCUUGAAUACAUUAGCAUGGAAUAAUAAGAUAGGACUUUGGUCUAUUUUGUUGGUUGAGCCUAAAGUAAUGAUUAAUAGGGAUAGUUGGGGGCACCUGUAUUGCGUUGUCAGAGGUGAAAUUCUUGGAUUUACGCAAGACAAACAGCUGCGAAAGCGUCUGCCAAGGAUGUUUNCAUUAA
Molecule: ribosomal RNA, 380 nt
Filed under: uncultured eukaryote
Lineage: Eukaryota
Description: partial 18S ribosomal RNA
Rfam family: Eukaryotic small subunit ribosomal RNA
Source: RNAcentral